This is a non-coding RNA of Pelobates cultripes (western spadefoot toad), 217 nucleotides long. NCBI's taxonomy places the organism in Eukaryota, Metazoa, Chordata, Amphibia, Anura, Pelobatidae. The record is from the annotation of a GenBank genome assembly.
CUUGCAGUAUCUGUUCUGUGAGCAUGUGUGUGUGUAGCACAUAGUUCUGUACUCAGGGCAGAGUGAAGUGCGUCGACACAGACAGGGUGCUGUGCUUGUGUGCGCAGUGGGUGUAACCUUAAAUCGCACUACUAGUCCCCUCUUAUCUCAUGUCUGGGGUCAUCUAUACAGUACAAUAAAAACAUAAUAAAAAUGAGAAUAAACAUUUGAAGUUGUG